Non-coding RNA from Acanthosepion pharaonis, 96 nucleotides. Lineage: Eukaryota; Metazoa; Mollusca; Cephalopoda; Sepiida; Sepiidae. The record is from the annotation of a GenBank genome assembly.
UGAAGCACCAGUUCUCAUCCAAUCACUAAAGAUAAGCAAUAUCAAGCCUGGUGAGUAUUUAGAUGGGUGACCACUUGGAAAUACCAGGUGCUGUAA